RNAcentral lists this long non-coding RNA (201 nucleotides) under Prunus dulcis (almond). Its description in RNAcentral is "sRNA ncRNA". Lineage: Eukaryota; Viridiplantae; Streptophyta; Magnoliopsida; Rosales; Rosaceae. The record is from RNAcentral.
AUGAGAAAAGGAGUUGGGAUAUAUAUGCUGGUUCGAAGGGUGUUUCUCUCUUUGGUAUCUUACAUGCUAAUACCCCCUGGUUCCUUGGAUAUUUUGGCUUUGAAACUUGCUCCCUCCAUGUGCUGGAACCUCCCAGCAGCUCUGUUCAAUAAUCCUGCAGACCUUCUCUACGUGGCUUCUAUUUUUCCAGCAAAGGGCUGA